Long non-coding RNA from Suricata suricatta (meerkat), 630 nucleotides. RefSeq lists it as uncharacterized. The record is from RefSeq and is a predicted model, not a curated record. NCBI's taxonomy places the organism in Eukaryota, Metazoa, Chordata, Mammalia, Carnivora, Herpestidae. The transcript is spliced from 3 exons.
CUGGAGCUUUCAGGAUUCAGAGGCCAUUGAGUCCGUCCUCUGUCUCCUCUCCCCACAAAUGAGAAUCUCCUGCCCUCUGACCAAUCACCUAGGGGGAGCAGUACCACAAUCACCCUCUGACAAGGCUGUUGACAGGCUCCGGAUGCAGGAGAGGAGUCGUGUGUGACCGCCUGGUGAAACUGACUACAAAAUCCUGCCGGUCCACUUUUUCAUGAUGCUGUGUGAUUCUGGAAACUCCUCGUCGCUGGGCUGCAGUGACCACGAAGAACAGAAUGAGACUAGAUGGUUUCUGGGGACCCUUUCCACUGAAUCCAGCCAGCCGCCUUCGUUCAACAAAGGAAUGUGACCAUCUUAAAGACAGAACAACUAAGCCUCAAAGAGGUAACAGGACUCGUUCAAGGUCACGUGAUGCGUCAGAGACAAAGGGGGGAGCCAGAGCCCUGGGACCCCGGCCGCCAGGGAGCCGGCACCACAUCUGGAGGUAGGGCCCAGAGCUCUCUCUCUAUAUCUGUGUGACCUAGACAAAUUACUCCCAGUCUCUGAUCCUCUUGAAGGAUUCUUAAAUGAAGAUCAAAUAAAAUCAGGAGCACGAAUGCUUACACGACCCCACCAUUGGCCCAGGCCUGGAUA